This 70-nucleotide transfer RNA is filed under the name Ogmocotyle ailuri. RNAcentral describes it as "tRNA-Asn". Lineage: Eukaryota; Metazoa; Platyhelminthes; Trematoda; Plagiorchiida; Notocotylidae. The record is from RNAcentral.
GAUUCUAGUAGAUUAAGUUUAAAUUGUAAGGCUGUUAACUUUAAGAUGAUGUGGUGUUUGUCCUGAAUCG